CAAAAAAACAUUGGAUUUCCGGAAAAAAUGGACAGAGGCUGUUCGGUCAUGAAACCAAAACACAUCGAUUAUAAAACUAAACAACAUAAUGAAGAUCUUCUCACAUGUAACCGGAAACACCCUUGGGAUUCAUCGUGAGUUUCUUCGAAAGCUCACCAAGAGAGGGGCAAAGGUUGUGGACCCAAUUGAUAAGGCUAAGGCUAUUAUCGUCUUCUGCCCCCUUGUCAGUCGUUAUGAGACCGACAUUCUCUCAGCGUUAUCCAGCAUCCCAGGUAGAAAUGCAGAAACCCAAACGCACAUGGAAAAGUUUUCUUAUGUUUGUCUUUUUCCUGCAUUGAACUGUGACCUCAGCUUUCUGUCUGUAACAAAGAAUGAAAAUGUGAGACUGUGAUUCUGGUGGUGAUGCAUCACACGUUCAACAAAGACCAGAUUCUACCACCACACAGAGACCUGGGCAGCCGUGCACUCGCUCUCCACGUGGACUGUCUGUUUCAUGAGCAAUUGGGACUUUUGAAAUGCCCUUGCAACUAACUUUCAACCAUGGCUUUCAGUCUUAUACAUUAAUGUGACUUAUAAUUUAUUCACUUUUUUCAUUUUCAUGUAGGUUGAACAAACAUGUGCUGCCUGUUUUUACUAUAUGCUUGUGCUAAUGUGACCUUCUUGAUGUUGCACUUAGUUAUUCAUUAUAAGCUUAUUACGAAUGUAGGAUAAAUUAUGGCUUGUAUAUUCCAUAAUAAAGCAAUCUUAUACUCUG
Long non-coding RNA from Trematomus bernacchii (emerald rockcod), 754 nucleotides. RefSeq lists it as uncharacterized. Lineage: Eukaryota; Metazoa; Chordata; Actinopteri; Perciformes; Nototheniidae. The transcript has 2 exons. The record is from RefSeq and is a predicted model, not a curated record.